AUUGAACGCUGGCGGCAUGCCUUACACAUGCAAGUCGAACGGCAGCACGGACUUCGGUCUGGUGGCGAGUGGCGAACGGGUGAGUAAUGUAUCGGAACGUACCUUUCAGUGGGGGAUAACGUAGCGAAAGUUACGCUAAUACCGCAUAUUCUGUGAGCAGGAAAGCAGGGGAUCGCAAGACCUUGCGCUGAUUGAGCGGCCGAUAUCAGAUUAGCUAGUUGGUGGGGUAAAGGCCUACCAAGGCGACGAUCUGUAGCGGGUCUGAGAGGAUGAUCCGCCACACUGGAACUGAGACACGGUCCAGACUCCUACGGGAGGCAGCAGUGGGGAAUUUUGGACAAUGGGGGCAACCCUGAUCCAGCCAUGCCGCGUGAGUGAAGAAGGCCCUCGGGUUGUAAAGCUCUUUCGGCCGGGAAGAAAUCGUGUGGGCUAAUACCCUGCAUGGAUGACGGUACCGGAAUAAGAAGCACCGGCUAACUACGUGCCAGCAGCCGCGGUAAUACGUAGGGUGCGAGCGUUAAUCGGAAUUACUGGGCGUAAAGCGUGCGCAGGCGGUUUAGUAAGACAGGCGUGAAAUCCCCGGGCUCAACCUGGGAACUGCGCUUGUGACUGCUAAGCUAGAGUACGGCAGAGGGGGGUGGAAUUCCACGUGUAGCAGUGAAAUGCGUAGAGAUGUGGAGGAACACCGAUGGCGAAGGCAGCCCCCUGGGCCGAUACUGACGCUCAUGCACGAAAGCGUGGGUAGCAAACAGGAUUAGAUACCCUGGUAGUCCACGCCCUAAACGAUGUCAACUAGGUGUUGGGUGGGUAAAACCAUUUAGUACCGUAGCUAACGCG
This 837-nucleotide ribosomal RNA is filed under the name uncultured bacterium. Its description in RNAcentral is "bacterial SSU rRNA". It matches the Rfam family "Bacterial small subunit ribosomal RNA", at positions 28 to 859 of the family's 1533-position model. The record is from RNAcentral.